Molecule: ribosomal RNA, 505 nt
Filed under: uncultured Glomus
Lineage: Eukaryota; Fungi; Glomeromycota; Glomeromycetes; Glomerales; Glomeraceae
Description: SSU rRNA
Rfam family: Eukaryotic small subunit ribosomal RNA
Source: RNAcentral
AGCAGCCGCGGUAAUUCCAGCUCCAAUAGCGUAUAUUAAAGUUGUUGCAGUUAAAAAGCUCGUAGUUGAAUUUCGGGAUCAUCAGGUUGGUCGUGCCUCUGGUAUGUACUGAUUUCGAUGGUUCCUCCUUCUUGAAGAACCGUAAUGUCAUUAAUUUGGUGUUGCGGGGAAUCAGGACUGUUACUUUGAAAAAAUUAGAGUGUUUAAAGCAGGCAAUCGCUUGAAUACAUUAGCAUGGAAUAAUGAAAUAGGACGUUCGAUCCUAUUUUGUUGGUUUCUAGGAUUGACGUAAUGAUUAAUAGGGAUAGUUGGGGGCAUUAGUAUUCAAUUGUCAGAGGUGAAAUUCUUGGAUUUAUUGAAGACUAACUACUGCGAAAGCAUUUGCCAAGGAUGUUUUCAUUAAUCAAGAACGAAAGUUAGGGGAUCGAAGACGAUCAGAUACCGUCGUAGUCUUAACCAUAAACUAUGCCGACUAGGGAUCGGAUGAUGUUAAUUUUUUAAUGUA